GAUUAACGCUGGCGGCGUGCAUAACACAUGCAAGUCGAACGAUGAAACUUAAAUGAUUUCUUCGGAAUGAACUUAAGUGGAUUAGUGGCGGACGGGUGAGUAACGCGUGAGUAACCUGCCUUCACAAGGGGAUAGCCGUUGGAAACGACGAAUAAUACCCUAUGAAACUAUCACUUCGCAUGAAGCGAUAGUCAAAGUGUUAGCGGUGUAAGAUGGACUUGCGUCUGAUUAGCUAGUUGGUGAGAAAAAAGCCCACCAAGGCAACGAUCAGUAGCCGGCUUGAGAGAGUGUACGGCCACAUUGGGACUGAGACACGGCCCAGACUCCUACGGGAGGCAGCAGUGGGGAAUUUUGCACAAUGGGGGAAACCCUGAUGCAGCGACGCCGCGUGAUUUAGAAGGCCUUCGGGUUGUAAAAAUCUUUUGUAUAGGAAGAAAAUGACAGUACUAUACGAAUAAGGUCCGGCUAAUUACGUG
This 476-nucleotide ribosomal RNA is filed under the name uncultured bacterium. Its description in RNAcentral is "partial 16S ribosomal RNA". It matches the Rfam family "Bacterial small subunit ribosomal RNA", at positions 28 to 507 of the family's 1533-position model. The record is from RNAcentral.